This is a non-coding RNA of Salmo salar (Atlantic salmon), 487 nucleotides long. The record is from RefSeq and is a predicted model, not a curated record. NCBI's taxonomy places the organism in Eukaryota, Metazoa, Chordata, Actinopteri, Salmoniformes, Salmonidae.
GAUACCUGUAGGGAGAACGAGGGGUUGAGAGGUCAGGGGUUAGAGGUGGCCUUGGGCUGCAGAGAGGCCUGGACGUCCAGGGUAAUCUGGAUACCUGUAGGGAGAACGAGGGGUUGAGAGGUCAGGGGUUAGAGGUGGCCUUGGGCUGCAGAGAGGCCUGGACGUCCAGGGUAAUCUGGAUACCUGUAGGGAGAACGAGGGGUUGAGAGGUCAGGGGUUAGAGGUGGCCUUGGGCUGCAGAGAGGCCUGGACGUCCAGGGUAAUCUGGAUACCUGUAGGGAGAACGAGGGGUUGAGAGGUCAGGGGUUAGAGGUGGCCUUGGGCUGCAGAGAGGCCUGGACGUCCAGGGUAAUCUGGAUACCUGUAGGGAGAACGAGGGGUUGAGAGGUCAGGGGUUAGAGGUGGCCUUGGGCUGCAGAGAGGCCUGGACGUCCAGGGUAAUCUGGAUACCUGUAGGGAGAACGAGGGGUUGAGAGGUCAGGGGUUA